This is a non-coding RNA of Peromyscus maniculatus bairdii (prairie deer mouse), 750 nucleotides long. The record is from RefSeq and is a predicted model, not a curated record. Lineage: Eukaryota; Metazoa; Chordata; Mammalia; Rodentia; Cricetidae.
UGUGUGCAUGUCUGCGUCUCGGUGGCAGGCAGGGGUGAGCCCAGCCACUCACCUUCCAGGAAGCGUGGAUUCCUGGAAGUGAGGGGAACCGCCGUCAUUUCGCAGGCAGGGGCAGCCGCACGGUAGCUGCUGACAUCCAGAGUUCUCAAAACACAGGCGUGGUGUGGGCUUCUCUUCUUACUCAGAAACCAUCUGUGCAGAGGUCUCUUCUCAUCAACCCACCUUAAGGAAGCAAAGCGUGGCUUCAGAGCGCAGUGAAGCAAAUGGCCUCGGAAAUUUUCUGCUUAGUGUUCAACAUUCUCCAGAGACACUACCGAAAAGAGCCCAUGGGACAUUUCCCCAGCCUCCUUCACAGCGUCUCAUUUGCCUACCUUACGGCAGGAAUCGGAUUUUAUCCCUCUGACAGUAACCGUCCAUCGCUAACUCGGUCCUCUGUGUUCUUGUUGCUCAAUAGUGAACAGACUUGCCUGGACCGGAGGUGGGAGAGUUGGCUGGUUCCUCGGAAGGACCUCUUUCCGUUGAAUCGGCCCACCUGAAGUGUGUCAUUCUGUCCAGCAUGCGGCAAGCAUUGCAUGCCUGUGCCUAAGCAAAUUCCUCCCGAGUCAGUGUCUUUCUGUGUAUUACCCAGACGAGGACCGUGAUUCUCAGGUGUGUCUGACUUCGAUAUCUCCAUCUGUGCGUGUCAAUAAUCCCUUCAUUGGUUCCACUUUAAAGAAAAUUAAUAAAGCACCUCAUAGCUCUUUUCCACGA